RNAcentral lists this long non-coding RNA (374 nucleotides) under Gossypium raimondii (Peruvian cotton). Its description in RNAcentral is "long non-coding RNA (GRAI_LNC004686)". Lineage: Eukaryota; Viridiplantae; Streptophyta; Magnoliopsida; Malvales; Malvaceae. The record is from RNAcentral.
UGGCUUGCUGAUAUUGAUGCUGCUAUUCAUCAUCUGGUUAUUAAAAAUUUGUUUAUGUUAGACAAAACCCAUGAAUUUUGAAGGUUUUUUUUCGAUGCAUUAUAUAUUUAUAUUAUUUAAAAACAAGACUGAAGAACACAAUAGAACUCAAGGCAAUAAGGCAAGAAGAAAAUUCACUUCAUGAGUUACAAAAGAUCAAAUCAAGCCUACGACUUAAAGAAACUAUCGGGAAUGGGAACACAACCACAUAAGCCACUUCCCAGUCUACCAAUCCUUACAACAAGAAUUAAAAUUGUAAAUUGAAAAGGCUCUUCCCACACCCACGGCAGCUCAUCCAGGGAAGAAAGAAAAGUCAACACUUGCUUCUUUUUCUG